ACGCGAGGGAGCGAGAAGUCGAGGGCGAGGGAGCGAGAGAGCGAGAACGCGAGGAAAAAGGGCGAGAAUACGAGGAUCUCGCCUCGAGAACACGAGAUUACUUUCACCUCGACUUCUCGUCUUCUCGUCCCUCGACUUCUCGCUCCCUCGUGUUCUCGCCUUUGAAAAACCUCGUGUUCUCGCUCCCUCGCCCUCGACUUCUCGCUCCCUCGCCCUCGACUUCUCGCUCCCUCGCGUUCUCGCCCUCGACUUCUCGCUCCCUCGUGUUCUCGCCUUUGAAAAACCUCGACUUCUCGCUCCCUCGCUCCCUCGCCUUUGGGUCAAUCUCGUCCUCUCGUGUUCUCGCUCCCUCGCUUCGUCACAAUCUCGUCUUCUCGUGUUCUCGCCUCGGAAGUGCAAGUGAUGAGCUCAUUCGUGAAUUUUUGGCGGAUACACCAAUAUUGAAGUCUCUAUAUUAUUAUUUCUAAGACACACUAUAUCAAUAAGUGAAAGGCAAAUAAGAAGAAUUCUUAAAAAAUAUGGUCAUAGGCGAAGAGGUGGAAAUGACGAAGAGUCUAUAACAGCUGCUAUAAGAGAGGAAUUGACUGGAAGUGGACGGUGCCUUGGUUACAGGGCUUUAGCGAAAAGACUCCUGUCAAAACAUGGCCUACGUGUUGCUAGGGACAAGGUUUACACUUUAUUAAAGUUAAUGGACCCCGAAGGGGUGAACCUUCGCAAGAAACACCAACUGUCAAGGAGAAUAUAUGUCAACAAAGGUCCAAACUAUUUAAUCCACAUAGAUGGGUAUGACAAGUUGAAAGCCUAUGGCUUUGC
This is a long non-coding RNA of Patella vulgata (common limpet), 813 nucleotides long. RefSeq lists it as uncharacterized. The record is from RefSeq and is a predicted model, not a curated record. Lineage: Eukaryota; Metazoa; Mollusca; Gastropoda; Patellidae. The transcript has 5 exons.